CACGUAGGCGGUUUGGUAAGUUUGAUGUGAAAUCCCCCCGACUCAAUCGGGGAAGUGCAUUGAAUACUGCUAGACUUGAGUGUAGGAGGGGAGAACGGAAUUCCUGGUGUAGAGGUGAAAUUCGUAGAUAUCAGGAGGAACAACGGCGGCGAAGGCGGUUCUCUGGACUAUUACUGACGCUGAGGUGCGAAAGCGUGGGGAGCGAACA
This 208-nucleotide ribosomal RNA is filed under the name uncultured bacterium. Its description in RNAcentral is "partial 16S ribosomal RNA". It matches the Rfam family "Bacterial small subunit ribosomal RNA", at positions 568 to 774 of the family's 1533-position model. The record is from RNAcentral.